This 62-nucleotide microRNA precursor is filed under the name Limulus polyphemus (Atlantic horseshoe crab). Its description in RNAcentral is "Lpo-Mir-2-P3m_pre stem-loop". Lineage: Eukaryota; Metazoa; Arthropoda; Merostomata; Xiphosura; Limulidae. The record is from RNAcentral.
CUCACAAAGUGGUUGUUGUAUGCUUCUGCUACUGUUCAUAUCACAGCCAGCUUUGAUGAGUG